Molecule: ribosomal RNA, 253 nt
Filed under: uncultured bacterium
Lineage: Bacteria
Description: partial 16S ribosomal RNA
Rfam family: Bacterial small subunit ribosomal RNA
Source: RNAcentral
UACGGGGGGGGCAAGCGUUGUCCGGAAUUACUGGGCGUAAAGGGCUCGUAGGCGGCCAACUAAGUCAGACGUGAAAUCCCUCGGCUUAACCGGGGAACUGCGUCUGAUACUGGAUGGCUUGAGUUUGGGAGAGGGAUGCGGAAUUCCAGGUGUAGCGGUGAAAUGCGUAGAUAUCUGGAGGAACACCGGUGGCGAAGGCAGGUCUCUGGGCAUUAACUGACGCUGAGGAGCGAAAGCAUGGGGAGCGAACAGG